Mangifera indica (mango) is the source of this 840-nucleotide long non-coding RNA. RefSeq lists it as uncharacterized. The transcript has 2 exons. The record is from RefSeq and is a predicted model, not a curated record. Lineage: Eukaryota; Viridiplantae; Streptophyta; Magnoliopsida; Sapindales; Anacardiaceae.
GUAAGAUUUUGAUAUGAUAUUAACCCGGGUCAUGUUAAGGCUAAGGUCUCUCUCCAGAAAUCCAAAGUGACACAACAUGACUGUCUGGUCUAUCUUUUCUUAGGUAAAUGAACUUUUUUUGUGUAGCUCAGCUCUACUUGGCGAACCAAGAAAAGUUCCACAAAGAAGUUGGCCAACAAUACUGGAAAGCAAUAGCGGAGCUCAUCCCUCGUGAGGUACCUAAUAUUGAGAAGAAGAGAGGGAGAAAAGAUCCUGACAAGAAGCCUUCCAUUGUGGUCGUUCAGGGUCCAAGGCCUAGGAAACCCACUGACCUCACACGAAUGAGGCAAAUGUUUAUAAAGCUUAAACAUAAGCGCCACAACUUCGUAUGAUGCAUUCCCCACGCUAACCUGCCAAAGAUGGCAAGGAUGAAAAGGACGGAAAUGAUGCAAAGGAUGAGAAGAAGGAUGCGAAGAACGAGAAAAGUAAUACACCAACUGAUCAAGCUGAGAGUGUGCCUGAUUCAUCACCCUCAAAAGAUGUAGCAGCAGCAGGGAAUUCACCCAUAUCACCAUCUAAAAGAGUUUCACCUGCAUCAGUUGAGGGUGAAGAGGCUGAUAGACUAGAGCCUGCAAUCGCUCAGGUUUUCUUCUGAUGAGUUGUGAGCAUCUUGAUUCAAUCUGAAGAAAAUUAGUGGCAGUUGAACAUUGACAUUCGGAAUUCAGUUCGUUGUACCCUCGCUAGGCUCUACCCUCUUUCAAGGAGAAUCUAUAAUCAAAUGAUUGAGUAAGCAGCUAUGUUAUUUAAUAAUAAAAUACCAGAUGGAAUAGCUGAAACAAAAAUUUCCAGCUUUUUUCUUCA